Molecule: small RNA, 86 nt
Filed under: Salix viminalis (osier)
Lineage: Eukaryota; Viridiplantae; Streptophyta; Magnoliopsida; Malpighiales; Salicaceae
Source: RNAcentral
UGUUCUCUCCACUGAUUAUAUUUUGAGUUUGAGAGUCAAUAAGCUUGAGCAUAUGUCAUAAACAUGCUUGAAAAGAAAAAAGAAAA